This 986-nucleotide ribosomal RNA is filed under the name Echinoparyphium aconiatum. RNAcentral's name for it is "16S ribosomal RNA". The stretch from base 630 to 986 matches the Rfam family "Bacterial large subunit ribosomal RNA", at positions 2045 to 2716 of the family's 2925-position model. Lineage: Eukaryota; Metazoa; Platyhelminthes; Trematoda; Plagiorchiida; Echinostomatidae. The record is from RNAcentral.
GACGAUUUAGAGAUUGUUUAUGUUUGCGGGUUUGGUUAUUUAAGGUACCUUUUGCAUCAUGAUUUAUUGAAGGUGUUUUCAGAUUUGUAUUAACCCGAAAAAUGCCGAUUUUUAUUUCCACUGUUUGGUACUUAGUCUCGGACGGGUAGUUUAGGUAAGAUGGGAGUAUGGUUGUGAAAAAUAAUUCGGGGCAUUUUAUAUCUGGUUCUGGGGUUUAGGUUUUGUUUUAAUUGCCGAGCAAGGAUGUUUGGUAGUGGUUAAUAGCAUUUAAUUAAGAGGUAUUUUGUGUGGGUUAAAGUUACCCCUGCAUAACGUAUGUGUUAAGACUCGAGUAGUGAAGGGUUUUGUGCUUUAUGAUUUUACCCCAGUUUGUUACAUAAUUUUAUUUAAAGUAUGAUAAAAUAAGUAGGUUUUGAUUAGUUUCAUUUUUUCUCGAUUUUUUCCGGUCUGUUUAUUAAAAACAUUUCCAUCCUAAGAUUUGGAUGGUAGUGCCUGCCCAAUGCUUUUAAGUUAAUGGCCGCAGUAUUUUGACUGUGCUAAGGUAGCAUAAUUAGUUGCCUCAUAAUUGGGGGAUUGUUUGAAAGGUUUGACCAGGGAACUAAAUUAAAUGGAAACUUAGUCUGAAAUUAAAUUGCUGGUGCAGAUUCCAGCAUGUGUUUAUUAGACGGAAAGACCCCGAGAUCUUUACAUUGUGGUGUUUACUUGGGGCAAGGCUAUAUUGUUUAUGUAGUUUUUGAUCCUAAGGGAUAAAAGGUUUAAGUUACCUCGGGGAUAACUAGGUAAAAAAUGAGGAGAGACCUUAUCGAUUCAUUUAAUUGCCAUCUCGAUGUUGACUUGGGAAAUGUGAUGAGGUGCAGAAGUUUCAUUACGUGGUCUGUUCGACCUUUAAUUCCUUCAUGAGUUGAGUUAAGACCGGCGUGAGCCAGGUCGGUUCUUAUCUAUAAUUGAUGCGAAUUAGUACGAAAGGAUUGUUUGCAUUUUAUGUU